This is a long non-coding RNA of Parus major (Great Tit), 478 nucleotides long. RefSeq lists it as uncharacterized. The transcript has 2 exons. The record is from RefSeq and is a predicted model, not a curated record. Lineage: Eukaryota; Metazoa; Chordata; Aves; Passeriformes; Paridae.
CAUAGCUCAGAGGCAUUCUGGGACAGGAAAAACAAAGUUACAAACUUCCGUGUUGGAAAGAAGGAUCUCUCUUCUCCCAAACCCGUGCUUUCCUGGGUUAAAGAAAUUUCAAGCAGCUGGAAAUGCCAGCAGGGUCCUCUCUUUACUCUAUCCAGCCUCUCGCCUUGGGGCUGAGGAGAAAAUCUUCAGUAACCAUGGUAACCUGACUUCAGUACAAUCCCCUGUAUUGGGGUGAAAAAGAGAGAUCACACCACAAAGAAGAGGAAGAAGGACAACAACAGAUCAUCAUAAACAUCACAACACAGAAAGAAGAAAAAACUGCUUCUGCUGCCAUCUAGAUCAAGGGAACUUUAUGCCAGCUGCUGCUCAACAUAUUGGGACCCUAUGCCAGAAAGCUUUUAGCAUGGACUUUAAUACUCUGAACUCUCUGCCUUCGAGACUGAUGCAUUCAUACAAUAAACAGCUUUACUGGAACUGA